GGAAUCUUCCGCAAUGGACGAAAGUCUGACGGAGCAACGCCGCGUGAGUGAUGAAGGCUUUCGGGUCGUAAAACUCUGUUGUUAGGGAAGAACAAGUACGAGAGUAACUGCUCGUACCUUGACGGUACCUAACCAGAAAGCCACGGCUAACUACGUGCCAGCAGCCGCGGUAAUACGUAGGUGGCAAGCGUUAUCCGGAAUUAUUGGGCGUAAAGCGCGCGCAGGCGGUUUCUUAAGUCUGAUGUGAAAGCCCACGGCUCAACCGUGGAGGGUCAUUGGAAACUGGGGAACUUGAGUGCAGAAGAGAAAAGCGGAAUUCCACGUGUAGCGGUGAAAUGCGUAGAGAUGUGGAGGAACACCAGUGGCGAAGGCGGCUUUUUGGUCUGUAACUGACGCUGAGGCGCGAAAGCGUGGGGAGCAAACA
This 424-nucleotide ribosomal RNA is filed under the name uncultured Bacillus sp. RNAcentral describes it as "bacterial SSU rRNA". It matches the Rfam family "Bacterial small subunit ribosomal RNA", at positions 358 to 774 of the family's 1533-position model. The record is from RNAcentral. Lineage: Bacteria; Bacillati; Bacillota; Bacilli; Caryophanales; Bacillaceae.